RNAcentral lists this ribosomal RNA (253 nucleotides) under uncultured bacterium. Its description in RNAcentral is "partial 16S ribosomal RNA". It matches the Rfam family "Bacterial small subunit ribosomal RNA", at positions 524 to 776 of the family's 1533-position model. The record is from RNAcentral.
UACGGAGGGUGCAAGCAUUGAUCGGAAUUACUGGGCGUAAAGGGCGCGUAGGCGGCUUUUUAAGUCAGAUGUGAAAUUCCGGGGCUCAACCCCGGAGCUGCAUUUGAAACUGAAGAGCUAGUGGCUAGUAAGGGAAAACAGAAUUCCACGUGUAGCGGUGAAAUGCGUAGAUAUGUGGAAGAAUACCGGUGGCGAAGGCGGUUCUCUGGGCAUGAUCUGACGCUGAGGAGCGAAAGUGUGGGGAGCGAACAGG